Molecule: ribosomal RNA, 274 nt
Filed under: uncultured bacterium
Lineage: Bacteria
Description: partial 16S ribosomal RNA
Rfam family: Bacterial small subunit ribosomal RNA
Source: RNAcentral
AUACGGAGGGUCCGAGCGUUAUCCGGAAUCAUUGGGUUUAAAGGGUCCGUAGGCGGGAAUCUAAGUCAGUGGUGAAAUCUUGCAGCUCAACUGUAAAAUUGCCAUUGAUACUGGAUUUCUUGAAUUAGUGUGAAGUGGUUAGAAUGUGUAGUGUAGCGGUGAAAUGCAUAGAUAUUACACAGAAUACCAAUUGCGAAGGCAGAACACUAACACUAUAUUGACGCUAAGGGACGAAAGCGUGGGGAGCGAACAGGAUUAGAAACCCCAGUAGUCC